ACAGCAGUCGCCGCGGUAAUACGAAGGGUGCAAGCGUUAAUCGGAAUUACUGGGCGUAAAGCGUGCGUAGGCGGUUUGUUAAGUCUGCUGUGAAAUCCCCGGGCUCAACCUGGGAAUGGCAGUGGAUACUGGCAAGCUAGAGUGUGUCAGAGGAUGGUGGAAUUCCCGGUGUAGCGGUGAAAUGCGUAGAGAUCGGGAGGAACAUCAGUGGCGAAGGCGGCCAUCUGGGACAACACUGACGCUGAGGCACGAAAGCGUGGGGAGCAAACAGGAUUAGAUACCCGCGUAGUCCCUGUCUCUUAUAC
This 305-nucleotide ribosomal RNA is filed under the name uncultured bacterium. Its description in RNAcentral is "partial 16S ribosomal RNA". It matches the Rfam family "Bacterial small subunit ribosomal RNA", at positions 508 to 807 of the family's 1533-position model. The record is from RNAcentral.